GGGGAGGUAGCUCAGUGGUUAGAGCGCCAUGGUUUCCUUAAAAAGAAAUCACUGGAGGUCGGUGGUUCGAGUCCACCCCUCCCCC
Molecule: transfer RNA, 85 nt
Filed under: Bdellovibrio sp. CG10_big_fil_rev_8_21_14_0_10_47_8
Lineage: Bacteria; Pseudomonadati; Bdellovibrionota; Bdellovibrionia; Bdellovibrionales; Pseudobdellovibrionaceae
Description: tRNA-Phe
Rfam family: tRNA
About the family: Transfer RNA (tRNA) molecules are approximately 80 nucleotides in length.
Source: RNAcentral